This 253-nucleotide ribosomal RNA is filed under the name uncultured bacterium. RNAcentral describes it as "partial 16S ribosomal RNA". It matches the Rfam family "Bacterial small subunit ribosomal RNA", at positions 524 to 776 of the family's 1533-position model. The record is from RNAcentral.
UACGUAGGGCGCAAGCGUUGUCCGGAAUUAUUGGGCGGAAAGAGCUCGUAGGCGGUUUGUCGCGUCUGCUGUGAAAACUCGAGGCUCAACCUCGGGCUUGCAGUGGGUACGGGCAGACUAGAGUGCGGUAGGGGUGACUGGAAUUCCUGGUGUAGCGGUGGAAUGCGCAGAUAUCAGGAGGAACACCGAUGGCGAAGGCAGGUCACUGGGCCGCAACUGACGCUGAGGAGCGAAAGCAUGGGGAGCGAACAGG